ACCGAAUUAACUGAAAUAAUAACGGAAAUAACGGAAAUAAUAACGGAAAUAACGAAAAUAUCCUCCAGGGAGACAGAAACAUACGGCAGAAAAUUAGGUGACAGGUAAAGAACAACAACGGAAAUAACGGAAAUAAGGGAAAUAACGGAAAUAAGGGAAAUAACGGAAAUAUCGGAAGUAACCUCCACAGAGACAGAAACAUACGGCAGAAAAUUAGGUGACAGGUCAAGAACAUUAACGGAAAUAACGGAAAUAACGGAAAUAACGGAAAUAACCUACACAGAGACAGAAACUUACGGCAGAAAAUUAGGUGACAGGUCAAGAACAUCAACGGAAAUAACAGAAAUAACUGAAAUAACUGAAAUAACCUCCACAGAGCCAGAAACAUACGGCAGAAAAUUAAGUGACAGUUCAAGAACAACAACGGAAAUAACGGAAAUAACGGAAAUAUCGGAAAUAACGGAAAUAACGGAAAAAACGGAAAUAACCUCCACAGAGACAGAAACUUACGGCAGAAAAUUAGGUGACAGGUCAAGAACAACAACGGAAAUAACGGAAAUAACGGAAAUCACGGAAAUAACGGAAAUCACGGAAAUAACGGAAAUCACGGAAAUAACGGAAAUCACG
This is a long non-coding RNA of Gallus gallus (chicken), 627 nucleotides long. The record is from Ensembl. Lineage: Eukaryota; Metazoa; Chordata; Aves; Galliformes; Phasianidae.